AGUAGGUAGAAAUCACAAUAGAUCAAAACUCUUUGGCUAAAUAUUUUAGAAAAAUCCUUUGCUAAAUCAUGCAGUAAAACAUCUCUGCAAAUGAUCAACCACUUUGAUAAUGACACACACACACACACACACCAAUUUCUUCUUUCUCACUCUAGGUCUUCCAGAACAUGCUGUUAUCCUUGAUGUGAGAACAAGGUGGAAUAGCUUGUUCCUCAUGGUGGAGCGAUUCCUGGAGCAGUUCCCUGCCAUCCAGGCCACCUCCAUGGACCCUCGGCUUAAGAAAUCAAUGGAGAAGGACAGACUGCAGAGAGUUUCUGAUGAGGAUUUCAGAAAAGCAGAACAGUUUGUCAAAGUUACAAAGAUACUUUACACUUCAACCCACUGCUUUCUGCUGAAAGGAGCCCAACCUUGGGUCAGAUUCUGCCAAUCUUAAAUAAACUCCAGCACCACUUCACAGUUAAUGAUGAGGACUCCUCCUUCACAAAGACCAUCAAGGACACCAUCUGGAAUGACCUCUCAAAAAGAUACCAGGAUGGCAGCAUCAGACAGUUCUUGGAGGAGGGCACAGCCUUGGAUCCCAGAUUCAAGUCAAAAGUGGCAGAUGAAGUGUGGACCAGACUGGAGGAGGAGCUGAUGAGAAGGACCUCAGAACAGACUCAGGCAGAGCAGAUAGAACAGGGGGUCAAAGAGAGAGCAGGUGACCAAGAUGACAGCUCAACUGACGAAGACAGUGCAUCUGCAGCAACAACACUGAAGAAGCAAAAGCUCUCUGCCCUUGAGGAGCUGUUUGCUGUGGAGGACAUGGCAAUUGAAGCAAGAACACAGACCACUGUCAGCAGCCUUACAGAGAA
Molecule: long non-coding RNA, 851 nt
Organism: Sinocyclocheilus anshuiensis
Lineage: Eukaryota; Metazoa; Chordata; Actinopteri; Cypriniformes; Cyprinidae
Exons: 5
Source: RefSeq, a predicted model, not a curated record